This 440-nucleotide ribosomal RNA is filed under the name uncultured bacterium. RNAcentral describes it as "partial 16S ribosomal RNA". It matches the Rfam family "Bacterial small subunit ribosomal RNA", at positions 338 to 795 of the family's 1533-position model. The record is from RNAcentral.
CCUACGGGAGGCAGCAGUGGGGAAUAUUGGACAAUGGGGGAAACCCUGAUCCAGCGACGCCGCGUGAGUGAAGAAGUAUUUCGGUACGUAAAGCUCUAUCAGCAGGAAAGAAAAUGACGGUACCUGACUAAGAAGCCCCGGCUAACUACGUGCCAGCAGCCGCGGUAAUACGUAGGGGGCAAGCGUUAUCCGGAUUUACUGGGUGUAAAGGGAGCGUAGACGGCAGCGCAAGUCUGGAGUGAAAGGCCGGGGCUCAACCCCGGAACUGCUCUGGAAACUGUGAAGCUGGAGUGCAGGAGAGGUAAGCGGAAUUCCUGGUGUAGCGGUGAAAUGCGUAGAUAUCAGGAGGAACACCGGCGGCGAAGGCGGCUUACUGGACUGUAACUGACGUUGAGGCUCGAAGGCGUGGGGAGCAAACAGGAUUAGAUACCCUUGUAGUC